GAUGGACGCUGGCGGCGUGCCUAAUACAUGCAAGUCGAGCGAACGGACGAGAGGCUUGCUUCUCUGAGGUUAGCGCGGGACGGGGGGGUAACCCGUGGUUAACCUACCAAUAAGACGGGGAUAACUUGGGGAAACCGGGGCUAAUACCGGAGGUUUUUUUCAACCGCAGGGUUCAAAAUUGAAAGAGGGUUUGGUGGUCACUUAUAGAUGGAUCCGCGCUGCAUUAGCUAGUUGGUAAGGUAACGGCUUACCAAGGCAACGAUGCAUAGCCGACCUGAGAGGGUGAUCGGCCACACUGGAACUGAGACACGGUCCAGACUCCUACGGGAGGCAGCAGUAGGGAAUCUUCCGCAAUGGGCGAAAGCCUGACGGAGCAACGCCGCGUGAGUGAUGAAGGUCUUCGGAUCGUAAAACUCUGUUAUUAGGGAAGAACAUAUGUGUAAGUAACUGUGCACAUCUUGACGGUACCUAAUCAGAAAGCCACGGCUAACUACGUG
RNAcentral lists this ribosomal RNA (497 nucleotides) under uncultured bacterium. RNAcentral describes it as "partial 16S ribosomal RNA". It matches the Rfam family "Bacterial small subunit ribosomal RNA", at positions 28 to 507 of the family's 1533-position model. The record is from RNAcentral.